GUCACUAACAACUAUGUCAUUGCAUACCUUUUUCAAUCCUCGAUCCUUUGCCCGAGAUUGUUUAUCUACAUCCUGUAAAGGAUGCUUGACUGGAUGAGUGAAAUGCAGUUUUGAUCCAAAAGCACAGCCAACGUGAAUUCUAAGGAGACUCCUUUGAAUGCUUGAAAGCUUCUAGGUAAAAAUCGGUGAGCUGACAACAUCGCCCCCUCAUCUUCGGCCCGUAGGAGAAGUACAUUGCUGAAUAUGCAACGACCGGGCCAAAGAAAUACACCAGCCCUGGCUGGGCUGGAAGAAUGCAUAAUUCAACAUGGAAAUUAGAAAUAAAUUAAAUAUGAAAAUUACGACCGAAGAAAAAGAGCCAAUUGAUUAUGUAUGCAGCGAGGAAAAAUUAGGGGUCUAAUGAAGAAAAACGCCUUUUCGGACGAAACGGCACGGGGCGGCGGCACUGGAACCAGGUGGCGGGCUCUACGUAGACGAUUUUUUAAAUUUACAUUCUUAAUACCGCCAGACGGUGAUGAGUUUUUAAACGGUCCCGCUUAAGACGUGUACACUCUAAAUUAAUUGAAGUGAAAUGUUCGGUGCCGACGUUUUUCAGAACGAGGUAGAAAAGUGAGAGACGGAAGCUGUUAAAAACGCAAGUAAUUACGAAAGUAACACCAUAUCAAAUCAUAGACAUUAAAGUGUCAGGAAUGGCAUAAUUAGCGCUAAUAGGAGUGAAGAAAAAACGUCAUAUGGCCGACCAUUAGCCAUAUAUUAUUUUAAACUGCUACCGCCGGCGGACAUUAGAUGGCAGUUGUGAGGGGUGUGGUAAUGGUAUGAUGGAUGGUCGCCUUUAGUUGGGGUUAGUUGUCACCCCUUGGCCUGAAGGGACCGCUAAAUAUAACCCGAGGGUGCGCUUGGGGUAUUGUCGGGACCUUGUCAUCGAUACAAUAGCCCAAAGAAGUCAAUUUGUUCAACGCGUUAUGCUCUAAAUGUAAUUAAUUAAGAGAAUUGCCAACGAGACGGCGAGAUGUUGCUAGCUUCAAAUGCGUUAGUAUGUAAUGCAUGAAUUGACAUAAAGUUAUGUCUAAAAAUGUAGUUGCGUUGUAUUGGGGAGUUAAUUUACUAACAUCUCACUGCCGAUGUCUUUUAUUGCCACAAAUGGCUUUUCUUUUCAAUAUAAAAUAAAUGUAAGCUUAAAUUUAUGCAAUACCAACGGGUCGAAUACAUACCUACUACAAAAUUUAAUAAUCUAGAUUUCAAUAUCUUCUCGUUGCGAUUUUGGAGCGGUAUUAGUUUUUCACUAUGCAAUAAAAUAUUAAAAUAUACCGGAACGGUAUGAAAAAGAAAUAUUUGCAGGCUUUAUUGGAUAUAUAAAGGGAAUCCGAAUGUUAUCCAGGAUUUUCCACGUCUUAGGCGCUCUAGGAUUCUCGAACAGCGAGGGGUCUUCACAUAUGUGAAGCGAGUUUCGGAAUAAAAAAGCGUCUUUUCCGUUAAUAAAAAUACGCCUUCCGCGCUUAACAUAACUCUAACGUGUAUCUCAAGAAACAUUUUGCAAAAAGUUUCUGAAUAACAUCAUAAACACACACACACAUACAACGCAUUAGUGCGUUUUGCUUAAAACUUCAUAAGAAAUAAAAUAAAAAUUAAUGAAUGAUGAAAAUUCCAAAAAGUUCAAAAGUUACCGAAAUUAAAAUGCUACAUAGUUUAUUCUAAGCAGACAAUUAACGUAACAGACGUCUACUCCGUUAUUUGAAAUUAAAAACCUUAUACAUUAUUGUAUUUGUUAAAUUGUUAAAAAAAAAACAAAAGCUUAGAAUUUUCUAUGAGAACAUUUUAACAUUGCUUGCAAAGCAAACUGCAGAUAAAGCGUUAC
This is a long non-coding RNA of Cylas formicarius (sweet potato weevil), 1855 nucleotides long. RefSeq lists it as uncharacterized. NCBI's taxonomy places the organism in Eukaryota, Metazoa, Arthropoda, Insecta, Coleoptera, Brentidae. The transcript has 3 exons. The record is from RefSeq and is a predicted model, not a curated record.